CAAUAGCGUAUAUUAAAGUUGUUGCGGCGAAAUAGCUCGUAGUUGGAUUUCUGCUGAGGACGACCGGUCCGCCCUCCGAGUGGGCAUCUGGUUCGGCCUUGGCAUUUCCUUGGCGAACGUAUCUGCACUUGACUGUGUGGUGCGGUACCCAAGACUUUUACUUCCAGGAAAUUCGAAUGUGUCAAGCAGGCAUGCGCCUUCAAUACAUUAGCAUGGAAUAAUAAGAUAGGACCUCGGUUCUAUGUUGUUGGUUUCUAAGGCCGAGGUGACAAUUACUGAGCAUAGUUGGGAGGCAUUCGUAUUGAACUGUCAGGGUGGGAUUCUUGGAUCCGUGAAAGACGGACUACUGCGACAGCAUUUGCCAAGGAUGCUUUCAUUGGUUAGGGACGAGAGUUAUGGGAUCGAAGAUGAUUAGAUACCG
This 421-nucleotide ribosomal RNA is filed under the name uncultured eukaryote. RNAcentral describes it as "bacterial SSU rRNA". It matches the Rfam family "Eukaryotic small subunit ribosomal RNA", at positions 592 to 1017 of the family's 1831-position model. The record is from RNAcentral.